GUGCACCAGGCGCGAAACCUCUACAAUGUGCGAAAGCAUGAUAGGGGGACUCCAAGUGUCUCUCUAAAGAGAGACUUUUGUAGUAUGUAAAAGUACUACGAAUAAGGGGUGGUCAAGACUAGUGCCAGCCUCCGCGGUAACACUAGCAGCCCGAGUGGUAGUCAUUUUUAUUUGGCUUAAAGCGUCCGUAGUCUGAUUAGUAAGUUCUCUGUGAAAUCCUGUUGCUUAACAAUAGGGCUUGCAGAGAAUACUACCAAUCUUGGAGCCAGGAGGGGUUAGGGGUAUUCCGGGGGUAGCGGUGAAAUGCUAUAAUCCCCGGAGGACCACCAAUGGCGAAGGCACCUAACUGGAAUGGGCUCGACGAUGAGGGACGAAAGCUAGGGGAGCAAA
RNAcentral lists this ribosomal RNA (390 nucleotides) under uncultured microorganism. RNAcentral describes it as "bacterial SSU rRNA". It matches the Rfam family "Archaeal small subunit ribosomal RNA", at positions 330 to 723 of the family's 1478-position model. The record is from RNAcentral.